Long non-coding RNA from Oncorhynchus keta (chum salmon), 932 nucleotides. RefSeq lists it as uncharacterized. NCBI's taxonomy places the organism in Eukaryota, Metazoa, Chordata, Actinopteri, Salmoniformes, Salmonidae. The transcript has 3 exons. The record is from RefSeq and is a predicted model, not a curated record.
CACAGAAGGAGAAUGACACAGAAUAACAUGAUAAAUAGUGUUAUACAAGCACUGAACAUUUGAAAUUCACUCUCACCCUUGAUGCACGAAACAAGUUUUCUUGACAUUUUGACAAAGAGGGAGGGGGAGGGCUUCAGCACCGACCUAAACAGGAAGCCACUGGACAGGAAUUCCUAGUUACCCGGAGACAGCUUCCAACCUUAGACCCCUAAAAAAGAGCCUCCCCAUCAGCCAAUACAGUUGCAUACGCAGGAUUUGUAGUACACAGAGUGUACACAGAGUGACUAUGACAAGCAAGCCAACUGUCUGGAUGAGCGUUUCAGACAGCGAGGUUACCCAGAGGAAUGGCUGGAUGAGUGUUUCAGACAGCGGGGUUACCCAGAGGAAUGGCUGGAUGAGUGUUUCAGACAGCGAGGUUACCCAGAGGAAUGGCUGGAUGAGUGUUUCAGACAGCGAGGUUACCCAGAGGAAUGGCUGGAUGAGUGUUUCAGACAGCGAGGUUACCCAGAGGAAUGGCUGGAUGAGUGUUUCAGACAGCGAGGUUACCCAGAGGAAUGGCUGGAUGAGUGUUUCAGACAGCGAGGUUACCCAGAGGAAUGGCUGGAUGAGUGUUUCAGACAGCGAGGUUACCCAGAGGAAUGGCUGGAUGAGUGUUUCAGACAGCGAGGUUACCCAGAGGAAUGGCUGGAUGAGUGUUUCAGACAGCGAGGUUACCCAGAGGAAUGGCUGGAUGAGUGUUUCAGACAGCGGGGUUACCCAGAGGAAUGGCUGGAUGAGUGUUUCAGACAGCGAGGUUACCCAGAGGAAUGGCUGGAUGAGUGUUUCAGACAGCGAGGUUACCCAGAGGAAUGGCUGGAUGAGUGUUUCAGACAGCGGGGUUACCCAGAGGAAUGGCUGGAUGAGUGUUUCAGACAGCGGGGUUACCCAGAGGA